UGUAUGUAAAAACACCACAAUGCAAGUCCUUGAUGAGUGGAUUCAAAUGUUAAAAUUACUUCAGCAAGUCCUUGAUGAGUGGAUUCAAAUGUUAAAAUUACUUUUCAUGUAGAAAUAACUUUGCAAAAUGCUUUCCUUUAACGAUUACUCCUCCUCUUUUAAAAAGUGGGCUAUUUGGUGUCCUCCAUUCCUAAAAUUCAAACACCUCCUCCCCCAUCCACACUAACUUUUCUUUUACUGAAAAACCAAAAACUAUCACAAGCUCUGAUAUGAGUACCAGAAAAUGUUAUACGAUUAUUGACUGUGGGUAUUUUAAUUAGUGUGUGUGUUAAAUUAAAAACUGUAAGCAUUAUGUCCAUGAUGUAAUGUGAACUGCAAAACUUAGAUAAACUGCAGAAUUUAGAUAGACUUAAGAUAUUGAUAUAAGAAUCUACACCGGGGCUUAGACCCCAGAGCUCACCCAGUUAUCAGCUAGAAGAACAACUGAACUUAAAAGGACUUAAAAGCCCAGCCUUCGGGAGCCCGCGGGACUAACAGGACCCAGACAGAGAGGCGACAUGACACUUCCGGUCCCUGUUGCCUACCCUGCACCAGACUCCUCAGGCCGGGAUGGAGUUCUAGCGACCUGGACUUAAGACACAUCACAGGUGAGUGUCUUGGACCCUUGGGUGUAGACUCAGUUAGGACUUAGGGUGUGUGUCUGAAGUGUGAUGAACAUUAAUAAAGUAGAUUUGGUUGAAUCUAACUGUGCCUCAGACUGAUAUGGGGGAAGUAUUCCUACCUGUAAACACUCUGCCUUUCCCUCCUUCCUCUUAAAAACUGUUUGUACUCUUAGCUAAGGCCAACCCAUGGGCUUGUGCUCUAAAUCCCAUCACAUCUGGCUUACUCCAAGACAACAUCCAGCAACAGAAUUUGCAUGCCAUUUUAUUAGCUUAUUUUCCAAAAGAAGAAACUGAUGGGUUUUUGGUUGGGGAUUGGGUGUUUCCCCUCCCCCCCACCAAUGCUGAGGAAACCCAACCCAGGUUACCAAAACUAGUGGCUACAUCUUCAACCAUUUUUAUCUUUUUUUAUUUUAAGAGAAGGGCUCUGUAAAUUGCCCAGGCUGGCCUUGAACUUGCCAUCUUCCUGCCCCCCACCAAAUAGCUGAGAUCAGCACCACCACCCCCAGGGCCAAAUUUAAC
This 1181-nucleotide long non-coding RNA is filed under the name Marmota monax (woodchuck). The record is from RNAcentral. Lineage: Eukaryota; Metazoa; Chordata; Mammalia; Rodentia; Sciuridae.